UGGUGACUUCGUAAGAGGAAGAAAGAGAGAGGGCUCUCUCUCCAUGUGGUUGCACCAAAGAAAGACCUUCUGCAAGCCUGGAGAAAAGCCCUCACCAGAAGCCGAACCCUACCAGACCUUGAUUUUGGACUUUCUAACCUCCAGAACUAUGAGAAAAUAAAUUUCUGUUGUUGGAGCCACCCAAUCUAUGGUAUUUGUAGAGGCAGCCUGAGCUGACUAAUACAGUUGGGUACCCAACCCCGGAACCAAGAGGUGGAGUCAGCCCUGUUCAAACUGUGGGAAAGUGGGAAGGGGUAUCUCUCCCCCAAGGAAAGUCAUGGUGCUGCGGCUGGAAAAAGAUGGAUGAGAUGUUUUGUCAUGCAGAGAUGACAGCUGGCCACCUUGUUUGAAUAACUCUCUUAACCUAUCUUCUUUGCUUCUAUCUCCUGAUCUAUAAAAUGGGGUGCUACCAA
RNAcentral lists this long non-coding RNA (452 nucleotides) under Pongo abelii (Sumatran orangutan). RNAcentral describes it as "lincRNA". Lineage: Eukaryota; Metazoa; Chordata; Mammalia; Primates; Hominidae. The record is from RNAcentral.